This 490-nucleotide ribosomal RNA is filed under the name uncultured bacterium. RNAcentral's name for it is "partial 16S ribosomal RNA". It matches the Rfam family "Bacterial small subunit ribosomal RNA", at positions 29 to 507 of the family's 1533-position model. The record is from RNAcentral.
AGUGAACGCUGGCGGUAGGCCUAACACAUGCAAGUCGAACGGCAGCACAGGAGAGCUUGCUCUCUGGGUGGCGAGUGGCGGACGGGUGAGGAAUACAUCGGAAUCUGCCCAGUCGUGGGGGAUAACGUAGGGAAACUUACGCUAAUACCGCAUACGACCUUCGGGUGAAAGAGGGGGAUCGCAAGACCUCUCGCGAUUGGAUGAGCCGAUGUCGGAUUAGCUAGUUGGCGGGGUAAUGGCCCACCAAGGCGACGAUCCGUAGCUGGUCUGAGAGGAUGAUCAGCCACACUGGAACUGAGACACGGUCCAGACUCCUACGGGAGGCAGCAGUGGGGAAUAUUGGACAAUGGGCGCAAGCCUGAUCCAGCCAUACCGCGUGGGUGAAGAAGGCCUUCGGGUCGUAAAGCCCUUUUGUUGGGAAAGAAAUCUUUCAGGCUAAUACCCUGGGAGGAUGACGGUACCCAAAGAAUAAGCACCGGCUAACUUCGUG